GUGCCUGUGGUGUAAAGGUUAGCACACGACUCUGUGGAAGUCGUGGAGCCGGGUUCAAUUCCCGCCAGGCACC
This 73-nucleotide transfer RNA is filed under the name Candidatus Kerfeldbacteria bacterium. RNAcentral describes it as "tRNA-His". It matches the Rfam family "tRNA". Rfam says of the family: Transfer RNA (tRNA) molecules are approximately 80 nucleotides in length. Their secondary structure includes four short double-helical elements and three loops (D, anti-codon, and T loops). The record is from RNAcentral. Lineage: Bacteria; Candidatus Kerfeldiibacteriota.